Long non-coding RNA from Cavia porcellus (domestic guinea pig), 3941 nucleotides. RefSeq lists it as uncharacterized. NCBI's taxonomy places the organism in Eukaryota, Metazoa, Chordata, Mammalia, Rodentia, Caviidae. The record is from RefSeq and is a predicted model, not a curated record. The transcript has 3 exons.
UCCAAAUCAAACUGGCUAGAAGGGGCAAAAAUUGGAUGGGUCUGGAAGAAAAAGACCCAAACUCUUCUUUUUCUCUCUUGUUGCUACCCUGAUUUUUAUUCUUUCUAUUUUAGCUUUUUCUUCUUCUAGUUUUCACCUCUGGAUUUACUGUCAGUUUGUACCUAAUGUAUUUCAGGAACUCUGAUGGCUGCCUUCACAAAUACAUGCCUCUUGGUGUACCAGUAACAUGAAUAUUUUCAUUUCCAUCUUAUAGGUGAAGAAUCUGAGGUUCAUAGCAGCUAAAUCAUGAAGUGGAAGUCACAGAUCCAGUGAAGGAUAAAAUGCCAGCCCCUGCACAUCCGUGGCUUUUUCUACUAUACCACCUCUUUCAUUUUCCUUCUUUAAUCAUCCUCUGACUUCUGUUUUCCCGUUACCUUCUAUCCUUCUCUUCUAAGGAGCACGUGUAAAAUUAGGAAGGAGAAGUGAACAUGCAAUGAAAAUACCGGAGCUCAGCUUUCACCCACAGUAUCUCCAAAAAUAAUUUCAACUCAGGCAGUGAAAACUUCAAUCUCUUCAGCUAAAAGAAUGAUUCCCACUGCCCAAACAGAGAUGGGCAAGAUCAGAAAUAAAACAUGGAGCUUCGAGUGAAAAGGGAAAAAAGGGGGAGGAAAGAAGAUGGUAAGAGAAAAAGAAGGGACAGAAAGCCGAUUAUCACACUGAAGGAAGAGGAAGCAGCAGAAGAAAAGUGUUCGUGACACCUGCUAAAACUAGUAAGGAAGACUUAUACGAAGUAGAAUUGCUACCAGGGGAUUUGGCACAGAGGAGACAGAGUGAGCUCGACUCCGAAUGCAAGGCCAGUUGGAGAUUUAUAGCCCAGGAGCAGGUUGGGGCAGAGGAUGGAAAGUUACUAAGGGGAAGCAUCAGGUCUACUGGGAUAUUUACUGGAUCCACUCAACAGGACUCUGCUAAAACUGAACAAGAUGGUCAAGGACAAAGCCCAAGGCCAAAAAGAGGGCUUAGAUGAACCUGACUACAGUUUGGUUCAGGGAAGAGUUUCUGUCAGUGGUGAUUAUGAUGGCGUUUGCAUAUAACAUUUAUUGAGCAUUUGUAUGCUGUCCGAGGUCCAUCCCUCAUACUGCAGGUAAGUUGUGCUGAAGGGCUUUCCCUGGUACGCUGAGACUUAUGAAAUUUGCAAGCACAUAAUUUAAGAACCACUGCUCUAGGGACGAUCUGUCCUGGGCCUCUCUGAAUAACCAUUUUCAAUAUUUCAUGGCACUAAUGAAGAAAGAAAAACACCAUCAAAAGCCAGCUACCCUGGCGAAUACAGUAGGAUAACCUCUGACCUGCCACUUAGGAUGGGAACAACUGUGCAAAGAGUCCUCCCCUGCCACCACCACCUGCCCUCCUGGCUGUAGGGUACUGUUUAUGGCCUGGGUGGUGAGGCAAGACAGGAGACCGCUCUGCACACUUGCAAAGGUCUGAGCCAGGCCUGGCCAUCCAGGUGCCUGCCACUUACAAGAGCAAAAUUUUUUCAGGUUGAACUUUGCCUGUUGCCCUGGGGCCCCUGGAAGGUGCAAUGCCUUUCUCUUUCAUUAAUCAACAGUGGUGGGUACACAGCAGGCAGGAAGGAGCUUGGGAGGGGGAAGGAAGAGAACUUCACGCAGGGCAGGCAGGGGUUCCCUGGCCUCUACCUCCCAGGCUGGGGCAAACUGAACCAGAGCGGGCCACAGGUCCAUAACUCAUCCUAAUGAAGGGCCUCAGUAAACCUGCCAAGCCCCGGGGUGUCAGCAGGAAGCUCCUGGCCCUUUUGCUGACAAGGGUCCAAAUGUGCAGGUGGUAAUGGAGCUCUUUCCUCCCGGGGUUUUUAUGGCAUGUUAAGGAGCAGCUGGAAACUUUGGGACUUAUUCCAUCAGAUCCCUGGAGAAGGGGUGGUGAACCCCAGGUCUUGCUCUGGGAGAUCCCAGGAGCUAUUGGACACCCUUCCAUUCAGCAGCAGGAAUCCUGCUUUGGCAGGCAGCUAGUGGAAGAUGUGUAGUGGCAGCGGCUUUGGUUGUAAGAUGCUGGAUAGAAUGAAUUAUAUUCAAAACAGGUAAGAACAGACAAAAUUCAUUUAAAAAUUCACUCUAGGCCAGACCUACACUUUGCUCCUCUAUGUACUGUCUCACCUCCUACAACACCCACAUGGGGUUGUCAAUCCUAUUUUCUAUGUGAAGUAAAUGAAGUUCAGAGGAGCUCAGUGAUCUGCCCAAAGUCACACAGCCACACAGGUCAGUCUGACUCGAGAGCCCCAUGUCCUGUUAUGCUUAGUGAGCACUGUACAAAGUAGCGGAUCUUCAUUAUGACCUGAAAGGGGCUGGGGAUUUAGCUCAGCGGCAUAAGCACCUGCCUUGCAAGCAGGUGGUCAUGAGUUCGAUCCCUGGUGCUGAUAAAAAGUUAAAAAAAAAUACAUUAUGACCUGAAAUAGGCAAUGCUCUGGGCUCCCUAUAAUUAACAUAGUUUAUAGAUGAGCAAAACAGAACUGAAGGAGGUAUAAGGUUAUGCACUAGGUAACACAGUAAGUGUCCUUAGCCAUGAUUUGACAGCCUGUCACAUUAGCCAAACAAUCCUUGGGGGAAGGCCAUCCUGAAUGAACCACUGCUUCCUAAGGUUAGUUAAAAUCCUCAGUUUUUUCUAGCAUUUCUCAAUUUUUCCUCAUGCCCUCGAGGAAACUCACAGACACUGAAGGCAGAACUCUUACUUUAUUUUUUAUUUUUUCCCAACCUGCAGAGCUUCCAGUUAAGUUUUCAAUUAAAGAUGUAGUUAAGAUGAUGUUAGAGUAAUUAUUUUAAAAUAUUGUAGCCCUUACCUAAUUCCAGAAGAGUAUUGAAAUAGUUCAUUAAAAAUAUAACCUAUGGGGCUGGGGAUUUAGCUCAGCGGCAUAAGCGCUUGCCUUGCAAGAACGGAGUCGUGAGUUCGAUCCCUGGUACCAAUAAAAGAAAAAAAAUUAGAAAAAAAAAUAUAACCUAUAUAUGUCUUCCAAUGACUAAAUUGCAAACUCGUAAAGGAAUGGUCAUUUGUCUACUUUCUAUUUCUUGCUCUUCCCAUCCCAAAGCGAAGGGUUUGUCUGUCUAUCCAUCGGUCUAUAUUAUCCAUGUAUAUCUAUUACUAUAUGUCUGUCUAUCUUUUAAUCUGUCCAUUCAUCUGUCUAUACAUAGGUAUCUAUCUGUCUGUCUGUCUAUCUACUCAUCCAUCCAACCAUCUACCUAAUAACCUCUCCACAGAGGAAAGGGAGAAAUGGCAGCACUGGUACUAAAAGACUGAGAGUCACUAUGGACUUGCCAUUUAAAUGGUUCAACAUAACUUGGCAAUCACAGAAGAAAAGCAGAAAAAUUAUCGUUGAAGACAUGAUGGUGUUUGUGAUCUGUUUUUCUUUUGACUAUGGCUGAAACCUCACGUCAGCAACAGCGUAUAACUUAUCCCACCAGCUCAUCUCUGGUCCCUUCCUUACACAAUCAUUGACAGAUGAGUUCCCAGCAGUCCAGUACUGAGCAAAUCUACACCUUGAACUUAGAAAUUUUUCCUACAGUUCCAAAGCAAGUAAAUUGAUGACAGACUUAAAUCUACUGAUCUUUAUUAAAUGAUAAAGCACAUGCAAAAUAUCUUAUCCAAAAUAAGAAUCUGGUUCCCUUGCUUGCAGGUGAGAAGAAAUACUGUUUCUCAGAACUAUUUGACAACCAAGUGGUCAUCACACUGAGCAAUGAGAUAUACAAAGAUUCCAUCUAACCUAACCUAACCUCACCUCAUUAUUGCCUCCAUUUCUGUACAUGAUUAUAGUUUUUCCUCUGUAUCCAUAGGGGAUGGGUUGUGGGACCCCAAUCCCCUUCUUAAACCCAAGAAUGCUCAAUCCCUUAUAUAAAAUGACAGUAUUUGCAUAUAACUCAUGCAAAUACUCCAUUUAGUUUCAUCUCUAGAUGAUGUAUAAU